Molecule: non-coding RNA, 72 nt
Organism: Sciurus carolinensis (gray squirrel)
Lineage: Eukaryota; Metazoa; Chordata; Mammalia; Rodentia; Sciuridae
Source: the annotation of a RefSeq genome assembly
UGGGGUGUAGUUCAGUGGUAGAGUAUUUGCCUAGCAUGUGCAAGGCCCUGGGUUCAAUUCCCAGCACCUCAA